Molecule: long non-coding RNA, 3867 nt
Organism: Grus americana (Whooping crane)
Lineage: Eukaryota; Metazoa; Chordata; Aves; Gruiformes; Gruidae
Exons: 3
Source: RefSeq, a predicted model, not a curated record
CUCGCAGGACCCCCACAACAGCCUUUCGUAUCGCAGCCCUGUUUCUCCCCGACAUCCGCAGCACGAGCCUCGCGCGCGCGCCACGUCCAGGGCUCUCGCGCUGGGGACCGGGGGAAAGUUUUAUUGUUGUAUCUUCUGAAUCAACAGAAUUAUUUAGCAAAUAGAAAGCAAACCAGACGAAAGUAUUUAGCUGCAAUUGAAGCAAGAUGAGUAUUAGCCUUUUGGUUUAAUUAAAUUCACUGUGAUAUUUAACAGAGGUUCCUAUUCUUAAGUUACCGCUUGAGUUUACACAAAAUUCUGCUGCCUCUUCAUCCUGGGCAACACACCGCACACAGUCUAAAAAGUUGAUUAGGUAAUUCUGUGACUAAAACGUUAAAAUAUGGAGCACUUUAGUCCUUGUUCUCACAGCAUCGGCGAGCCCCACGUGUAUUUGCAGUAAUAAACCAGGAAUAGCGUACAGCAGCAUACAUAAUGCUCUCUGAAUUCGGAACGCUUUACACAUCAACUUUCAGUGCCGCAAAAUAAGCGGCUCAUCUCGUUUGUUCUUCGUUAGCAGUGGUACCCAGGAUGUGCUAUACAUCGCACACAGAUAAAUGAUUCAUCCCCACUGCAGCAGGGCACGUACUUGCCGCCUUACGCCCUGCUGUAGUAACCGAUUUGACUAAGGCCACAGCGCGAGCCAUUGCCGUAGCGGCAGCACCCCCCGGUCCUAUCCUGAGUCAGGGAUAAAACAGGGAAAAGCCCGUGUUCCUCUCCAGCAUCCCCACAUUGCUGUGGAAAUCGCUCGGUUCGGUCCCUACACCUUGGCACGUUCGUAAUCUGCAUUUUGUUUCACCCUCCCAUCAUUUUCUUGACAGAUUCAAGUAAUAUAAAGGAGUAAUUAAUCAGGGGCAGGGGAGAUGGUGAGAGUGCACCGUAAAAUAAACAUACGUUUGGCUGGUGUUCAUUAACUGCUUUCAAAAUUUCAUGGACUCGGUGGAGGAAGGGCCACCAAAGGCACACAAGCAAACCCGGCAGCUCCUCUGAGGCACCUCGCUGCGCCCCGCAGCGAGCGGGAAUUGCACGACUAGAAGCACCGGGGCACUGACACGGAGUUCGUCGGACCAACCCAACUCCUCCUGAGGUCUUUGGAAAGGAGACGGCAGCGGAGCUGCGUGCAGGGACCUGGCAGCUACAGCAAUCGGCAGAAUAUAAUCACAUAGAUACGAUUAGACGUAAGCGUGGGGAGAGCCAUCGCGGAGAUGAAAAGCUACGUUCAGUUAAAUAAGCGUUGCACCUGGAUCCAGUUUAGAAGACAACAACCCGGGUAUUUAUUUAAAUGCUGUCUAUUAGAGAGAACACAAACAUAAGGCUCAAAAAUUAUCCUUGUAGCUGCGAUACAAUAUAAUGCCUUCACUUUCACUUAUCCACACGCUACUCAUUUAAGGUACUUCAGUUACAGAACUACCACAAUACUCAUCGAUCAGCAGCAUAAAAUUCUGCGCAGCAUCUUGGGCAAUCUUAAAAAUUAACAGUCUCUGCACUGUGAUCUUUUUACGUAUUGCCACAAACAGAUGUAAAAGGGGCGCUGACAUGAUGGAAGGGCGGCUACCCGCCUUGCUGGGUAUUAAUUUUCCAGCCCAUCAAAUAAAAGAGACACACAGGUGCGAGAACAAGGUGCUAAGAAAACUCCUUUUGGCAGGAAGAGCUCAACAAAACCCCGAGCGAGGAGCGAUUGCGAUGCCAGCCAGCGCCUCGCUCUGCCCUGCCGUGCACCCUCGCUGCUCUCCUGACCUGUCCGAUACAGCGCAGCCGCAACGUGCAUCGUAAUCAUUCGCUACAACCUGUAAGACGGAGCAGAUCAGACAUUUACAUCUGUCCCAUCCUCCCAGCUGUCUUCACACAAAAUCCGUGUGCCCAGACACAUAGAUAUGCCGGGAGCCUACGCUUGCUUGUCAGUCUAGGAAGCAGGAGCCGCAGUCGAAAAUAGCAGAACCCGGAUUAUGGCAAGAGGCCAACGGUUUCCAGUUCUCCGAGCGCCUAUUUCCCCAUCGUCCCUUCUUUUCCUGACACAGGGGAGGCUCACUAAGGCAUCGGUAUGGGUUAAAUCCUUCAUUUGGCGUGACCUAACUCAUUUCUGCCACACACAGCCCCUCCGCUGAACAGUACCGGCGAGGAAGGCGGAGGUCCGCAGGAGGAUUCUGGUUCAUCUGUGGCACAAGUACAACACGAACGUGAUUUGCAAAGAUCUGGAAUCCCACGCUCUUGGGUAAGCCUGGAAAACCACGGUUCAAGCAGAAAGCUGCCCAGAUGUUACAAACCUUAAAAAAAUAGAGCAAAAGGCAGCAGGAUGACAGGAGACAUCACCCUCCGACCCCACCCUACCACAGAGAGCUGGAGAGGAUUUCUUCCCCCGCUCCGUCAGACUUUCAGGACCAAGUUCUGAACAAGAAGGGCGUAACGCAGACCGCUGGCAGAACGGGAGGCGCUCCACGGGCGAAGGCUUUGAUUCAGGUGGGUGAGGGACUCACCCCAUCUCCUCCUUCCUUCCUUCCUAGAUCCCAAUGUGCGAUUAAAAACUGAGUGCGAGCUGUGGGAAAUAAUGCUGAGCCUGCAAACAGUGAUUCAUUCUUACGGAGGCUGAAGCAAUUCCUGAAGAAGAAACAAAGCCGGAACCAUCAUCUGCCACGUACGGAAUUUCUCCUUCCCUGUCUGUCACACCCGGCAAGCCUUAGAGCUUUGUCAAAAACCCAUCGAAACCCUCCCCGAAACAGUUGUUCAUUAGGAACCCCGCUGGUUGCAGAAAGACUCCCUCGACACUCCUGGCUUUUUGCACCCCCCUCCCAGUGCGCUGCCUAAGAGGAGCUGGAGAAACGGUGCUGCCUCUCCGUGCCCUGAGGGGUGACGGUUCAGAAACGCUCAGGAGAAACUCCAGGCUGUUGGUGACCGCUCCGGGCAAGCCGGGUUUCCAGUGAGGAAGGAAGGAAACAUCAAGCUCCUCGUGCCUGGAGGCACCUUACGCUUUACGCUCUUGCUUCAGGUAGCGAACAGAGGCGACGGAGAGCGGAGCUGAUGGAAACGGUUGGUUUUAAUGCAGACAGGGCAGCGAUGUAACACGGCCACACAGGUCUUGAUCCUCACUGCUGCUUGGCCCCUCUUCAAAAAUAAAGGUUAAUUCAUUUCCCCAGCAAAAGUGUUCUCUAAAAUGAAUGUUCGUGAAAACGCUUGCUUCCUUUGAACCUGAACAUCCUUAAACUAUUUUCCUGAAGUGCUGAAAGCUUGGGAUGUUCUGUGAGUUAGCUGCAAUUCACCUCUGCAUCAGCCUACAGAAUGACCAAAGUUUAGCUCUCACCUCUUUUAAGCCCCAUCUAAUUAUGCAACUUGACCAGAACAACAGUUUGGCUGAACACACAACAGUCCCGUCGUCAUAUUUGGAUGUGGGGAGACAGAAGGGAAAAGCUGUUUUGUUCAAAGUUCGAGCGUUUCUACGGCGCUUGACUGACGUGGAAGACAGAGCCCUCUCCAGCGUAUCCGAAAUCGAAUACCUUUUUCUCCUGUGUCUUGGAUGUGCCCACCUCUACCUGAAUAGACAGACGGUGUGUCGAGGUGCGUACGACCGGAGAGCCCGACUGCAGACGGGGACUUUGCACCUGAGGCAACUCUCACGGAAAGGUUCAGUCGCAUUGAAGAGGUUCCCGUACGCGCCUCCCGGUCGUACGAAACAUUCAGUCUUCAACUGAUGAAAACACCAGGGUUUAGGUAACCACACCCUGCUCACAUCAAACUUUUCCCUAACUAGUCCUGGCUAGUUUGUAGAUUAUUUUGUUCUUGUACCUUGGCAGCACAUCAGGCUCCAUUCCUGAACCAUUCUAAGAUGUUUCGGUUAAU